CACAGCCUAAUCUACUCCGCUUGAAUGUCUGGCUUCAUCAUGUGAAGAUCUCUCCCUGCGAAUACAGUUUGGUCGGCAGUCAUCGUCAUGCUUCCAUGUUAAUUGAUGUUAUGAUCCUCCUCUUGGGUUGAAGUUUUUACGUUUUUGUUUAUCUCUGGGCUAUAUUGCUGUUCCUGUUUUGGACUCUGUGUAUAGUGUUGCAUCUUCAGAAAGAGGGAAAUGGAAAGGAAGUGCUGCCUAUUAUACUGGGACAUGUGCAGGGAGGGGCCUAUGUCACUG
Pelobates cultripes (western spadefoot toad) is the source of this 279-nucleotide non-coding RNA. The record is from the annotation of a GenBank genome assembly. Lineage: Eukaryota; Metazoa; Chordata; Amphibia; Anura; Pelobatidae.